AACGAACGCUGGCGGCAUGCCUAACACAUGCAAGUCGAACGAGACCUUCGGGUCUAGUGGCGCACGGGUGCGUAACGCGUGGGAACCUGCCCUUAGGUUCGGAAUAACUCCCCGAAAGGGGUGCUAAUACCGGAUAAUGUCUUCGGACCAAAGAUUUAUCGCCUUUGGAUGGGCCCGCGUUGGAUUAGCUAGUUGGUAGGGUAAAGCCUACCAAGGCGACGAUCCAUAGCUGGUCUGAGAGGAUGAUCAGCCACACUGGGACUGAGACACGGCCCAGACUCCUACGGGAGGCAGCAGUGGGGAAUAUUGGACAAUGGGCGAAAGCCUGAUCCAGCAAUGCCGCGUGAGUGAUGAAGGCCUUAGGGUUGUAAAGCUCUUUUACCCGGGAUGAUAAUGACAGUACCGGGAGAAUAAGCGCCGGCUAACUCCGUG
RNAcentral lists this ribosomal RNA (432 nucleotides) under uncultured bacterium. RNAcentral describes it as "partial 16S ribosomal RNA". It matches the Rfam family "Bacterial small subunit ribosomal RNA", at positions 29 to 507 of the family's 1533-position model. The record is from RNAcentral.